Molecule: non-coding RNA, 811 nt
Organism: Oryctolagus cuniculus (rabbit)
Lineage: Eukaryota; Metazoa; Chordata; Mammalia; Lagomorpha; Leporidae
Source: RefSeq, a predicted model, not a curated record
GUGGCGCAGGCGCAGACCAGACUAUGGAGUCGGUAGCUUUGCUGAGUUGCGGUCGCUUCUAGGUGUCUGCUUUUAGUUGCUGUGCCUUGGAGUUUUGUUUCGGUUGUGCAACAGUGCCUUCUGGAGGACGCAAGUGGCGACAGGGAAUCCCCGUUGGCACAACUGUACCGGCCUCGUACGCCUUAGCCGCGCGGGGAUUGGCCGCGGUGUUCCCGAAGGGCUCUUCCCUGCCGAGUGGCUCGCAAGUCCCAGAAUCCGAGUCCGAGUGACAGUGCCCGGAAGCAUCCUGCGACGGAGCUACGCUCCCGUCGUAGCGCAGGGUGACAGAUGCUGCCGAGUGCCACACGGAUUACCUCACGCAAACCCGCCGGCCGCCUUAGGAGGCAAUGGAGCUGGAUUGGAAGCAGAGGAGCCAGUACUUGAACCAGCGCUCAUGUGGAAUGCCGGCAUCACAGGCAGCAGCUCAACCCACUGUGCUACAAUGUCAGCACCUAUUUGAACUUUUUCCUCCUUUAUUAUGAGGGAAGAGAUAGGUCGGGAGAUGAAGUUCUGGAAAUUACACUCAAAGCUGUGGUCACUGAAACCUAGAGGAUGGCAGAGAUCAAGGAAAGAGACUUACAGAGAAGCAAAUGUGGGCUGUGUGCAGACCUCUGCUUCUCAUGCUAAUCCAUGGAACAGAAGAAGAAUCAAGAUCCACCAAGAGAAACAGAAGUGCCAUCUGGGAAGAGACUAGGAAAUUGAAUUGUUAUAACUCCCACUGUGAUCAUUAGAUAUCAAAUUAAUAAUUGUACCAUGCUGAUACUGUUUAAUA